GGGUGUGAGGACGAUCUGGCUGCAAUACUUGCCCUCCCAUUGAUCACCAGGGUGGGUUUGGCUGAGCUGCAUGGCUAGACGGGCUUCCCCUUUCUGUCUCACUGCCUGGUAGGCAUCCCUCCCCAAACUGUGCACUGGAUUGAAGAUGAUGACCUCCUAUAGAGCUGGACUGUUCUUUGGUCAAGGACAUAAUAAUCCCAAGCCCUCGCUAGAAUCUCCAAACAAACCCCCAAGGUCCAUUAGUAGAACAAUGGAGGUGGUCAGACCUCCAAACAUCCAAUCGAGGUACGUUCACAAAUCGCGAUAUCUGAAUGUUAAGAAAGGAAGUGUUCAGUAUCUUGAGAUUUUUU
Unclassified non-coding RNA from Panthera pardus (leopard), 350 nucleotides. Its record names the gene 7SK. It matches the Rfam family "7SK RNA". From Rfam's summary of the family: 7SK was discovered as an abundant small nuclear RNA in the mid-70s but a possible function has only recently been suggested. Two independent studies have found that 7SK RNA binds the CDK9/cyclin T complex (known as elongation factor P-TEFb). Lineage: Eukaryota; Metazoa; Chordata; Mammalia; Carnivora; Felidae. The record is from Ensembl.